GAUGAAGAACGUAGUGAAAUGCGAUAAGUAAUGCGAAUUGCAGAAUUCAGUGAGUCAUCGAAUCUUUGAACGCACAUUGCGCCCUGUGGUAUUCCGCAGGGCAUGCCUGUUCGAGCGUCAUUUCAACCCUCAAGCCUCGCUUGGUGUUGGGCCCUGCCCGCCGCGGCCGGCCCUAAAGAUAGUGGCGGCGCCGCCUGGCCCUCAGCGUAGUACAGCUCUCGCUCCAGGGUCCGGCGGCAGCCUGCCAGAACCCCCCAACUCUGUGGUUGACCUCGGAUCAGGUAGGGAUACCCGCUGAACUUAAGCAUAUCAAUAAGCGGAGGA
RNAcentral lists this unclassified non-coding RNA (324 nucleotides) under soil metagenome. RNAcentral's name for it is "partial contains 5.8S ribosomal RNA, internal transcribed spacer 2, and large subunit ribosomal RNA". The stretch from base 1 to 120 matches the Rfam family "5.8S ribosomal RNA", at positions 35 to 154 of the family's 154-position model. The record is from RNAcentral.